UACAAGUCAUAUUUUUUAAUUCUUCCACGUACAGAGUCCCAUCUCUUCGCCGUGAUCUGGCGGCACUGGUACCUCGAAGUAUAUAUCGCACGAUAUAGAAGAAGCUGGAUGGUUCUAAUGUAGGAGACAUAUGGUGGGAUUCGGAACGCUUUUAUUCAUGCGUUGAUAAAUCUGACAAAACAAUUUACAGGCAGGAUGUAAUCGUGAAGGUACGUAUAUAUUUCGUUGAUUUUAGCCUUGACCACUUAGUAUGAGAAUUGACAGCUUGGUUUUUUUUUCAUUUUUCAUUGUAAAAUUUUUCACCUUCUUAAAGACGUUAGCAUUGUUACAAUGUGAUUGGAACCGGGGGUAAAACUGCAACGUAAUUCUAUUUCCUUUGACAUAAUUGUGGCAUUAAUAGACGUUAACCUAAUUACGUCCUAGAGAUACAAUUAAAUCGACGUUUCCCCUUAAAACGUCUACGUCAAACUUAUGUAAAGCAAUAGGAAUUUGACACUUAUUUUAUGACACUUAUAUUAAUAUUUUCUUUCCCCGGACAGGAUGAUGAUUUUACUUGUCCGUUCUACAUAGAAAUGUAUAUAUGUUUUCAGACGAUCGUCCAAGUUGAACGUUUCUUGAGAAAGCGGUUCAACCUAUCGAAAGGCCCCACAGCAGAGAAAAUCCAUAUUUAUUACUUGUCGAACGGUGAUGCCAAAUGGAGAGUAAAAGCAUUUUCCGAAAUUAAGGAUCGCCGGCUGUGCUUGACCAACAUCAUAAUGUCAACCAAACCAUCAAACUUCUAUUGCAACGUGGACCCCGUUGGGCAAUACAAAACGGGGAAAGGAAUCACCAGGAGUAAGCCCACCAUCCCGAGGGGUGAACUCGCACCACAUGAUAAAUACACACGAGUUUCUGAAAUGAUGAAAAUCACGGAAGCGACACAGGAAGAGAAACCACCAUCUCGUAAGUAUAUUUCCAUUAUUGACUUGUGAUUGUCAACAUAGGUACGUUGUAGGCUCCUCUCUUCAAGGUGUGAUGUAAAAACUCCUCUCCAAGGGGUGAAUUAAAAACUUUUCUCUUCAAUGUGUGAUUUAAAGACUCCUUUUUCGAGGGGUGAUGUAAGAAUAGACGUUUUGUUGCUUUGUCUUCGCGAGAGGGGUCCCAUCAUUCCUUAAGAAACUGGAUUUUAAGCCUUCGCCUACAACUAGUCAACUCAUAUUUCGUAGGGAACCGUUUAUCUUCUGAAAUCACCUCUUAUUGCAGACAACAUAUUAUUUUAAAAGCAAUUUUUCUAACGUCGAUCCUAGUUAUCUCAUAAGAGUAAACCACGUUUCUCAGUUAGUGGGUGAGGAGAAUUUCCAUUUCACUCCUCAUAACGUAGAAAUUUAAGGUGAAAUUCUUUUACAGGGAUCACUGACCCCGAAUUGGAAGCUUUGGUGGAAGAAAGGUUCCUAGCAAGAAAAGCCGACCUCGAAAAAGAAUUCCAAGCCCGCAUGACGGAGUUUUUCAAUAAUCAACUAAGGACAACGGCAUUUGAAGCCCCUGCAGGAACAGACUUGACGCCAUCAGCCGAUAUUCCUCCCGGCGAUUUGGCGAAAAAGCCAAAAGUCUCUUCAGCGACAGUCUCUUCACCAAAAGGCAAAUCGUGGCGUUCAGGACCGACGAAGCUGAGAUGAAUCUGCAUUUACUGUAGUACCUUGAAUUCUUUCUUUAUCUCAGGAAAGAGGAGCACGGAAAAAUUAAUGGGCUCUCAAAGUCUUGGAUGAAAGAAGUCACUCUCAUUUAAAAUGUAACUCACUGUUUUUUUUUUUUUUUUUUUUUUUUUUUUUGCAGGUGAAAGCUUACACUUGGCUACAUCGAAAUGACUCUUGUGUUGCUAAUUCUUCCCGAGGAAUCGCGAAAGCAGUUGUGGCUGAAAGUUUGCUGUCUACUUUCUCUCUUCAAGGCGGGCGAGCCAAAAAUAAACCUCACAAACGGCCUUUCAAUGCAUUGGCACUCUACUCUUUGAUCAUCCCUGCUGUUCAUAAUCAAAUGACCCAGUGGAUCAACAGAGGAGGAUGUAAUCUGAAUGACCCGACUGACAGUUCAAGCGAGUCAGAUGAGGAAGAAGCAUGGCAGAGAAUGGCGGUCACAGCAGAUGAGAAAAUGCACUUUACCAAGCGGCAGUCUAAGAAGUAGCAUAGUCUUCUGAAAAUGGCAGUGUCCGUAGGGAAUAAGAUCAAAGUCAGGCAGAAUAAAAAAUAAAUCUGUGUAUUCUGCCAGCAAGAGGAAUUUGUAUAUUCUGCCGACCCCUGCGGGCACGCCAUUUUCUGUUCCAAUUGUAUACUGGCCGGUAUAAAACCAUCGAAGUACACUUAUACCCUUGCAGAUGGCACAAUCGCCACCCACCAUUCCUACACUAUGUACCCGUCAAGUGUCCACUUUGUAGAGCUAUUAUCGGCUCAUUAUGCAAAGAGGCCAACAAAACUGCGAUUUUAAACGAAACGACUUGCUUUACAUUUAUAUUUUUUUUAGAAAAUGUUAAAUUUGCAAAAAUUUACAUUUAAGUUUUUCAUCAAAAUUAAUUUUUGUUACUUAAUGAGUGAAAGUUGCCAGAUUGUCAAUUUAAUAGGACUUAGAAUUUUUACUAUUCAUACAUACUCAUAAAUUUUUUUUUUUUUCUCCUAGUUCCUCUUUUGAUAGGUACAAACUAGAAUUUUUUAAUUUUGUUAUGAUUUUCUUUAGAAUUACUUUCAGUACUAUUUUUUCUUUAUUUGAUGUUUUUUUACUUAAUAAAAUGUGGCUGUUCAUUAUCUUCUGUUUUUUAUUCCAGUUUUUAAUUCUUACCAGUGUAGGUGUGCAAGAUUUCCAUGAACCUUAGCCCUCUGAAUUAUUUAAUUGGAUUGUAAAAGUUUCUAGUAUACUCAUUAGGAUAUCUUCCGAGAGCUAUGUCUGUAUGCUAAGGUAGAGAUUAUUUUUUUGUAUUUCUGCCAUUUUUUCCUGGACAAUACGCUCAUUAAAAAAUAUAUGUACAUAUUUAUGCAUUUCUCAGUUUUUUUAAGAAUAGUUCUUAAUAGUAUGGAGAACAAAGACUGCAGGUUGGAUUAUUUUUAAAAGAAUCUGUUCAGUGCUCCCUUCCUUAGCAUAGCAGCAAUACCAUGGUGGGAUUUAUUUUUCAAAACCAAAACUACUAUGAGUAAAGGUUAUAAGACAUUUCGUCAACGAUUUUUUGUCCGCGCACCUGUUUUUUCCAGUAAUUUACGUCCA
This is a non-coding RNA of Bemisia tabaci, 3225 nucleotides long. Lineage: Eukaryota; Metazoa; Arthropoda; Insecta; Hemiptera; Aleyrodidae. The record is from RefSeq and is a predicted model, not a curated record.